This 253-nucleotide ribosomal RNA is filed under the name uncultured bacterium. Its description in RNAcentral is "partial 16S ribosomal RNA". It matches the Rfam family "Bacterial small subunit ribosomal RNA", at positions 524 to 776 of the family's 1533-position model. The record is from RNAcentral.
GACGUAGGGCGCGAGCGUUGUCCGGAUUUAUUGGGCGUAAAGGGCUCGUAGGCGGUCUGUUACGUCGGGAGUGAAAACUCGGGGCUCAACCCCGAGCCUGCUUCCGAUACGGGCAGACUAGAGGUAUGCAGGGGAGAAUGGAAUUCCUGGUGUAGCGGUGAAAUGCGCAGAUAUCAGGAGGAACACCGGUGGCGAAGGCGGUUCUCUGGGCAUUACCUGACGCUGAGGAGCGAAAGUGUGGGGAGCGAACAGG